Oncorhynchus keta (chum salmon) is the source of this 2057-nucleotide long non-coding RNA. RefSeq lists it as uncharacterized. Lineage: Eukaryota; Metazoa; Chordata; Actinopteri; Salmoniformes; Salmonidae. The record is from RefSeq and is a predicted model, not a curated record. The transcript has 3 exons.
AGAAAGAAACCCCACACCCUGAGUCUGUCUGUGAUCUACUGGCCAACGAGCUAUACUGGAGACCUGAGGAGAAAGAGACCCCACACCCUGAGUCUGUCUGUGAUCUACUGGCCAACGAGCUAUACUGGAGACCUGAGGAGAAAGAGACCCCACACCCUACACACACUACACACACUACACACACUUCACACACUACUACAGAUACCACACUGGAGACCUGAGGAGAAAGAGACCCCACACCCUACACACACUACACACACUUCACACACUACUACAGAUACCACACUGGAGACCUGACGAGAAAGAAACCCCACACAAUACACACCCAACUAUAGAUACUAAACAUAGUAUAGAUACUAAACAUACAGCAGUUAGCUUGGAGAAAAAAGAGGCUAAUAAUCAGCUAGCACAACAGGCUAACACUCAGCUAGCAAACAGGCUAACACUCAGCUAGCACAAUAGGCUAACACUCAGCUAGCACAGCAGGCUAACACUCAGUUAUGCACAACAGGCUAACACUCAGCUAGCGCAACAGGAAAACACUCAGAUAGAGCAACAGGCUAACACUCAGCUUGCACAACAGGCUAACACUCAGCUAGCACAAUAGGCUAACACUCAACCAGCACAACAGGCUAACACUCAGCUAUGUACAACAGGCUAACACUCUGCUAGCGCAACAGGAUAACACUCAGAUAGCGCAACAGGCUAACACUCAGCUAGCACAACAGGCUAACACUCAGCUAGCACAACAGGCUAACACCCAGCUAUGUACAACAGGCUAACACUCAACUAGCACAACAGGCUAACACUCAACAAGCACAACAGGCUAACACUCAACUAGCACAACAGGCUAACACACAGACAUUUGACACCUCGCCCCCAGCAGAACUACUGUCCUCCAGCUGGGACCAUCAGCACUACUCUCCUCCAGCUGAGACCAUCAGAACUACUGUCCUCCAGCUGAGACCAUCAGAACUACUCUCCUCCAGCUGAGACCAUCAGAACUACUGUCCUCCAGCUGAGACCAGUCAGAACUACUGUCCUCCAGCUGAGACCAUCAGAACUACUGUCCUCCAGCUGAGACCAUCAGAACUACUCUCCUCCAGCUGAGACCAGACCAGCUGAGACCAUCAGAACUACUCUCCUCCAGCUGAGACCAUCAGAACUACAGUCCUCCAGCUGAGACCAUCAGAACUACAGUCCUCCAGCUGAGACCAUCAGAACUACUGUCCUCCAGUUGAGACCAUCAUAACUACUCUCCUCCAGCUGAGACCAGACCAGCUGAGACCAUCAGAACUACUCUCCUCCAGCUGAGACCAUCAGAACUACUCUCCUCCAGUGAGACCAUCAGAACUACUCUCCUCCAGCUGAGACCAGACCAGCUGAGACCAUCAGAACUACUGUCCUCCAGCUGAGACCAUCAGAACUACUGUCCUCCAGCUGAGACCAUCAGAACUACUGUCCUCCAGUGAGACCAUCAGAACUACUGUCCUCCAGCUGAGACCAUCAGAACUACUGUCCUCCAGCUGAGACCAUCAGAACUACUGUCCCCCAGUGAGACCAUCAGAACUACUGUCCUCCAGUGAGACCAGUAGAACUACUGUCCUCCAGCUGAGACCAUCAGAACUACUGUCCUCCACUGAGACCAUCAGAACUACUGUCCUCCAGCUGAGACCAUCAGAACUACUGUCCUCCAGUGAGACCAUCAGAACUACUGUCCUCCAGCUGAGACCAUCAGAACUACUCUCCUCCAGUGAGACCAUCAGAACUACUGUCCUCCAGCUGAGACCAUCAGAACUACUGUCCUCCAGUGAGACCAGUAGAACUACUGUCCUCCAGCUGAGACCAUCAGAACUACUGUCCUCCAGUGAGACCAUCAGAACUACUGUCCUCCAGUGAGACCAUCAGAACUACUGUCCUCCAGUGAGACCAGUAGAACUACUGUCCUCCACUGAGACCAGCAGAACUACUGUCCUCCAGCUGAGACCAUCAGAACUACUCUCCUCCAGCAGAGACCAUCAGAACUACUCUCCUCCAGCUGAGACCAUCAGAACUAC